CAGUAGCCGCGGUAAUACGAAGGGUGCAAGCGUUAAUCGGAAUUACUGGGCGUAAAGCGUGCGUAGGCGGUUUGUUAAGUCUGCUGUGAAAUCCCCGGGCUCGACCUGGGAAUGGCAGUGGAUACUGGCAAGCUAGAGUGUGUCAGAGGAUGGUGGAAUUCCCGGUGUAGCGGUGAAAUGCGUAGAGAUCGGGAGGAACAUCAGUGGCGAAGGCGGCCAUCUGGGACAACACUGACGCUGAGGCACGAAAGCGUGGGGAGCAAACAGGAUUAGAUACCCCUGUAGUCCCUGUCUCUUAUAC
Molecule: ribosomal RNA, 301 nt
Filed under: uncultured bacterium
Lineage: Bacteria
Description: partial 16S ribosomal RNA
Rfam family: Bacterial small subunit ribosomal RNA
Source: RNAcentral